Molecule: ribosomal RNA, 429 nt
Filed under: uncultured Pseudomonadota bacterium
Lineage: Bacteria; Pseudomonadati; Pseudomonadota
Description: bacterial SSU rRNA
Rfam family: Bacterial small subunit ribosomal RNA
Source: RNAcentral
UGGGGAAUAUUGCGCAAUGGGCGAAAGUCUGACGCAGCCACGCCGCGUGAGUGAAGACGGCCUUCGGGUUGUGAAGCAUCUGUCGCCCGGGACGAAAAUACUUACGGUUAACAGCCGUAGGGACUGACGGUACCGGGAGAGGAAGCACCGGCUAACUUCGUGCCAGCAGCCGCGGUAAUACGAAGGGUGCAAGCGUUGCUCGGAAUUAUUGGGCGUAAAGGGUAGGUAGGUGGUCUCAUUUGUCAGGGGUGAAAGCCUUGGGCUUAACCCAAGAAGUGCCCCUGAAACGGUGAGACUGGAGUCCUGGAGAGGGUCGUGGAAUUCCCGGUGUAGCGGUGAAAUGCGUAGAGAUCGGGAGGAACACCAGAGGCGAAGGCGGCGACCUGGACAGGUACUGACACUCAACUACGAAAAGCGUGGGAGCAAACA